Molecule: transfer RNA, 73 nt
Filed under: Ovis aries (sheep)
Lineage: Eukaryota; Metazoa; Chordata; Mammalia; Artiodactyla; Bovidae
Rfam family: tRNA
About the family: Transfer RNA (tRNA) molecules are approximately 80 nucleotides in length. Their secondary structure includes four short double-helical elements and three loops (D, anti-codon, and T loops).
Source: Rfam by way of RNAcentral
UUCCUGGUGGUCCAGUGGUUAGGACGCUGAGCUUUCACUGCUGAGGGCCUGGGUUCAAUCUCUAGCUAGGGAA